This 500-nucleotide ribosomal RNA is filed under the name uncultured bacterium. RNAcentral's name for it is "partial 16S ribosomal RNA". It matches the Rfam family "Bacterial small subunit ribosomal RNA", at positions 30 to 523 of the family's 1533-position model. The record is from RNAcentral.
AUUGAACGCUGGCGGCAUGCCUUACACAUGCAAGUCGAACGGCAGCACGGGAGCAAUCCUGGUGGCGAGUGGCGAACGGGUGAGUAAAGUAUCGGAACGUGCCCAGUCGUGGGGGAUAACGUAGCGAAAGUUACGCUAAUACCGCAUACGAUCUAUGGAUGAAAGCGGGGGAUCGCAAGACCUCGCGCGAUUGGAGCGGCCGAUAUCAGAUUAGGUAGUUGGUGGGGUAAAGGCUCACCAAGCCGACGAUCUGUAGCUGGUCUGAGAGGACGACCAGCCACACUGGGACUGAGACACGGCCCAGACUCCUACGGGAGGCAACAGUGGGGAAUUUUGGACAAUGGGCGAAAGCCUGAUCCAGCCACGCCGCGUGCAGGAUGAAGGCCUUCGGGUUGUAAACUGCUUUUGUACGGAACGAAAAGGUUUGGCCUAAUAAGCUGAGCUCAUGACGGUACCGUAAGAAUAAGCACCGGCUAACUACGUGCCAGCCGCCGCGGUAA